This 497-nucleotide ribosomal RNA is filed under the name uncultured bacterium. RNAcentral describes it as "partial 16S ribosomal RNA". It matches the Rfam family "Bacterial small subunit ribosomal RNA", at positions 28 to 507 of the family's 1533-position model. The record is from RNAcentral.
GAUGAACGCUGGCGGCGUGCCUAAUACAUGCAAGUCGAGCGAACAGACGAGGAGCUUGCUCCUCUGACGUUAGCGGCGGACGGGUGAGUAACACGUGGAUAACCUACCUAUAAGACUGGGAUAACUUCGGGAAACCGGAGCUAAUACCGGAUAAUAUAUUGAACCGCAUGGUUCAAUAGUGAAAGACGGUUUUGCUGUCACUAAUAGAUGGAUCCGCGCCGCAUUAGCUAGUUGGUAAGGUAACGGCUUACCAAGGCAACGAUGCGUAGCCGACCUGAGAGGGUGAUCGGCCACACUGGAACUGAGACACGGUCCAGACUCCUACGGUAGGCAGCAGUAGGGAAUCUUCCGCAAUGGGCGAAAGCCUGACGGAGCAACGCCGCGUGAGUGAUGAAGGUCUUCGGAUCGUAAAACUCUGUUAUUAGGGAAGAACAAAUGUGGAAGUAACUGUGCACGUCUUGACGGUACCUAAUCAGAAAGCCACGGCUAACUACGUG